AGUCGAGCGAAGCACUUUGCUUUGAUUUCUUCGGGAUGAAGAGCUUGGUGACUGAGCGGCGGACGGGUGAGUAACGCGUGGGUAACCUGCCUCAUACAGGGGGAUAACAGUUAGAAAUGACUGCUAAUACCGCAUAAGACCACAGCACCGCAUGGUGCAGGGGUAAAAACUCCGGUGGUAUGAGAUGGACCCGCGUCUGAUUAGUUAGUUGGUGGGGUAACGGCCUACCAAGGCGACGAUCAGUAGCCGACCUGAGAGGGUGACCGGCCACAUUGGGACUGAGACACGGCCCAAACUCCUACGGGAGGCAGCAGUGGGGAAUAUUGCACAAUGGGGGAAACCCUGAUGCAGCGACGCCGCGUGAGCGAAGAAGUAUUUCGGUAUGUAAAGCUCUAUCAGCAGGGAAGAAAAUGACGGUACCUGACUAAGAAGCCCCGGCUAACUACGUGCCAGCAGCCGCGGUAAUACGUAGGGGGCAAGCGUUAUCCGGAUUUACUGGGUGUAAAGGGAGCGUAGACGGGGCAGCAAGUCUGAUGUGAAAACCCGGGGCUCAACCCCGGGACUGCAUUGGAAACUGUUGAUCUGGAGUGCCGGAGAGGUAAGCGGAAUUCCUAGUGUAGCGGUGAAAUGCGUAGAUAUUAGGAGGAACACCAGUGGCGAAGGCGGCUUACUGGACGGUAACUGACGUUGAGGCUCGAAAGCGUGGGGAGCAAACAGGAUUAGAUACCCUGGUAGUCCACGCCGUAAACGAUGACUACUAGGUGUCGGGUGGCAAAGCCAUUCGGUGCCGCAGCCAACGCAAUAAGUAGUCCACCUGGGGAGUACGUUCGCAAGAAUGAAACUCAAAGG
Molecule: ribosomal RNA, 849 nt
Filed under: uncultured bacterium
Lineage: Bacteria
Description: bacterial SSU rRNA
Rfam family: Bacterial small subunit ribosomal RNA
Source: RNAcentral